RNAcentral lists this ribosomal RNA (253 nucleotides) under uncultured Dongia sp. Its description in RNAcentral is "partial 16S ribosomal RNA". It matches the Rfam family "Bacterial small subunit ribosomal RNA", at positions 524 to 776 of the family's 1533-position model. The record is from RNAcentral. Lineage: Bacteria; Pseudomonadati; Pseudomonadota; Alphaproteobacteria; Rhodospirillales; Dongiaceae.
UACGAAGGGAGCUAGCGUUGUUCGGAAUUACUGGGCGUAAAGGGCGCGUAGGUGGCUUGGCAAGUUGGGUGUGAAAGCCCAGGGCUCAACCCUGGAAUUGCACUCAAGACUGCCUUGCUUGAAUUCGGUAGAGGUUGGUGGAAUUCCCAGUGUAGAGGUGAAAUUCGUAGAGAUUGGGAAGAACACCCGUGGCGAAGGCGGCCAACUGGACCGACAUUGACACUGAGGCGCGAAAGCGUGGGGAUCAAACAGG